GGUAAUACGAAGGGGGCUAGCGUUGCUCGGAAUUACUGGGCGUAAAGGGCGCGUAGGCGGAUAUUUAAGUCAGGGGUGAAAGCCCGGGGCUCAACCCCGGAAGUGCAUUCGAAACUGGCGGUCUUGAGUACGGGAGAGGUGGGUGGAAUUCCUGGUGUAGAGGUGAAAUUCGUAGAUAUCAGGAGGAACACCGGUGGCGAAAGCGGCCCACUGGCCCGAUACUGACGCUCAUGUUCGAAAGCGUGGGGAGCAAACAG
RNAcentral lists this ribosomal RNA (257 nucleotides) under uncultured bacterium. RNAcentral's name for it is "partial 16S ribosomal RNA". It matches the Rfam family "Bacterial small subunit ribosomal RNA", at positions 519 to 775 of the family's 1533-position model. The record is from RNAcentral.